UACGUAGGGUGCGAGCGUUGUCCGGAAUUAUUGGGCGUAAAGGGCUCGUAGGUGGUUUGUCGCGUUGUCCGUGAAAACUCACAGCUCAACUGUGGGCGUGCGGGCGAUACGGGCAGACUGGAGUACUGCAGGGGAGACUGGAAUUCCUGGUGUAGCGGUGGAAUGCGCAGAUAUCAGGAGGAACACCGGUGGCGAAGGCGGGUCUCUGGGCAGUAACUGACGCUGAGAAGCGAAAGCGUGGGGAGCGAACAGG
This 253-nucleotide ribosomal RNA is filed under the name uncultured bacterium. Its description in RNAcentral is "partial 16S ribosomal RNA". It matches the Rfam family "Bacterial small subunit ribosomal RNA", at positions 524 to 776 of the family's 1533-position model. The record is from RNAcentral.